UACGGAAGGCAGCAGUGGGGAAUAUUGCACAAUGGGCGCAAGCCUGAUGCAGCCAUGCCGCGUGUAUGAAGAAGGCCUUCGGGUUGUAAAGUACUUUCAGCGGGGAGGAAGGCGAUGCGGUUAAUAACCGCGUCGAUUGACGUUACCCGCAGAAGAAGCACCGGCUAACUCCGUGCCAGCAGCCGCGGUAAUACGGAGGGUGCAAGCGUUAAUCGGAAUUACUGGGCGUAAAGCGCACGCAGGCGGUCUGUUAAGUCAGAUGUGAAAUCCCCGGGCUUAACCUGGGAACUGCAUUUUGAACUGGCAGGCUUGAGUCUUGUAGAGGGGGUAGAAUUCCAGGUGUAGCGGUGAAAUGCGUAGAGAUCUGGAGGAAUACCGGUGGCGAAGGCGGCCCCUGGGACAAGACUGACGCUCAGGUGCGAAAGCGUGGGGAGCAAACAGGAUUAGAUACC
RNAcentral lists this ribosomal RNA (452 nucleotides) under uncultured bacterium. RNAcentral describes it as "bacterial SSU rRNA". It matches the Rfam family "Bacterial small subunit ribosomal RNA", at positions 340 to 786 of the family's 1533-position model. The record is from RNAcentral.